ACAUGCAAGUCGAGCGAGAUGUUAGCGCAUGAACCUUCGGGGGAUUAUGCUAACGGACAGCGGCGGACGGGUGAGUAACGCGUAGGCAACCUGCCCCUGACAGAGGGAUAGCCAUUGGAAACGAUGAUUAAAACCUCAUGACACCGUAGAAGCACAUGCUUCAUCGGUCAAAGAUUUAUCGGUCAGGGAUGGGCCUGCGUCUGAUUAACUAGUUGGUGAGGUAACGGCUCACCAAGGUGACGAUCAGUAGCCGACCUGAGAGGGUGAUCGGCCACAUUGGAACUGAGACACGGUCCAAACUUCUACGGAAGGCAGCAGCAGGGAAUCUUGCACAAUGGGCGAAAGCCUGAUGCAGCAACGCCGCGUGAAGGAUGAAGGCCUUCGGGUUGUAAACUUCUGUUCUAAGGGAAGAAACAAAUGACGGUACCUUAGGAGCAAGCCCCGGCUAACUACGUGCCAGCAGCCGCGGUAAUACGUAGGGGGCAAGCGUUAUCCGGAAUUAUUGGGCGUAAAGAGUGCGUAGGUGGUUACCUAAGCGCAAGGUUUAAUUUAGAGGCUCAACCUCUACUUGCCUUGCGAACUGGGCUACUUGAGUGCAGGAGGGGAAAGCGGAAUUCCUAGUGUAGCGGUGAAAUGCGUAGAUAUUAGGAGGAACACCAGCGGCGAAGGCGGCUUUCUGGACUGUAACUGACACUGAGGCACGAAAGCGUGGGUAGCAAACAGGAUUAGAUACCCUGGUAGUCCACGCCGUAAACGAUGAGCACUAGGUGUUGGGCCCGUUAGGGCUCAGUGCCGCAGUUAACGCAAUAAGUGCUC
Molecule: ribosomal RNA, 816 nt
Filed under: uncultured Mogibacterium sp.
Lineage: Bacteria; Bacillati; Bacillota; Clostridia; Peptostreptococcales; Anaerovoracaceae
Description: bacterial SSU rRNA
Rfam family: Bacterial small subunit ribosomal RNA
Source: RNAcentral